RNAcentral lists this long non-coding RNA (219 nucleotides) under Oryza brachyantha (malo sina). RNAcentral's name for it is "long non-coding RNA (OBRA_LNC002741)". The record is from RNAcentral. Lineage: Eukaryota; Viridiplantae; Streptophyta; Magnoliopsida; Poales; Poaceae.
CCGCCGCCCCUCUUCUUCUUGCUCUUGCUCUCUCUCUCUCUCUCUCGAUUGCUCGUCGUCUGGUUGAUGAGUUGAUGUGUUGUUGGUGUGGAGGUAGUAGAGAGAGGAGGGUGUGGGGGAGGGGAGGAGGGGGAGGAGUAUUUUAUUCUUUGGGAGGGCAGCAGCGUCUUGAUCUCGAAAUGAUAGCGUGCAACAUGAAAAAGGCAAUAAAGUGGCCUU